UACGUAGGGUGCAAGCGUUGUCCGGAAUUAUUGGGCGUAAAGAGCUCGUAGGCGGUUUGUUGCGUCGGCUGUGAAAUCCCGAGGCUCAACCUCGGGUCUGCAGUCGAUACGAGCAAACUAGAGUGUUGCAGGGGAGACUGGAAUUCCUGGUGUAGCGGUGAAAUGCGCAGAUAUCAGGAGGAACACCGGUGGCGAAGGCGGGUCUCUGGGCAAUAACUGACGCUGAGGAGCGAAAGCGUGGGGAGCGAACAGG
Molecule: ribosomal RNA, 253 nt
Filed under: uncultured bacterium
Lineage: Bacteria
Description: partial 16S ribosomal RNA
Rfam family: Bacterial small subunit ribosomal RNA
Source: RNAcentral